Small nucleolar RNA from Euleptes europaea (tarantolino), 69 nucleotides. NCBI's taxonomy places the organism in Eukaryota, Metazoa, Chordata, Lepidosauria, Squamata, Sphaerodactylidae. The record is from RefSeq and is a predicted model, not a curated record.
CCUCAUGAUGAAAACUCUGUCCAGUUCUGCUACUGAAUGCAAGUGGUGACAGUUCAUAUUCUGAAGGUG